ACGGGAGGCAGCAGUGGGGAAUUUUGCGCAAUGGGGGCAACCCUGACGCAGCAACGCCGCGUGCGGGACGAAGGCCUUCGGGCUGUAAACCGCUUUCAGCAGGGAAGACAUCGACGGUACCUGCAGAAGAAGCUCCGGCUAAAUACGUGCCAGCAGCCGCGGUAAUACGUAUGGAGCGAGCGUUAUCCGGAUUCAUUGGGCGUAAAGCGCGCGUAGGCGGCCGCCUAAGCGGAACCUCUAACCUUGGGGCUCAACCUCAAGCCGGGUUCCGAACUGGGCGGCUCGAGUCCGGUAGGGGCAGGCGGAAUUCCCGGUGUAGCGGUGGAAUGCGCAGAUAUCGGGAGGAACACCGAUGGCGAAGGCAGCCUGCUGGGCCGCGACUGACGCUGAGGCGCGAAAGUGUGGGGAGCAAACAGGAUUAGAUACCCUGGUA
Molecule: ribosomal RNA, 433 nt
Filed under: uncultured Adlercreutzia sp.
Lineage: Bacteria; Bacillati; Actinomycetota; Coriobacteriia; Eggerthellales; Eggerthellaceae
Description: partial 16S ribosomal RNA
Rfam family: Bacterial small subunit ribosomal RNA
Source: RNAcentral